This 446-nucleotide ribosomal RNA is filed under the name uncultured bacterium. RNAcentral's name for it is "bacterial SSU rRNA". It matches the Rfam family "Bacterial small subunit ribosomal RNA", at positions 329 to 792 of the family's 1533-position model. The record is from RNAcentral.
GUCCAGACUCCUACGGGAGGCAGCAGUGGGGGAUAUUGCACAAUGGGGGGAACCCUGAUGCAGCGACGCCGCGUGGGUGAAGAAGCGCCUCGGCGCGUAAAGCCCUGUCAGCAGGGAAGAAAAUGACGGUACCUGAAGAAGAAGCCCCGGCUAACUACGUGCCAGCAGCCGCGGUAAUACGUAGGGGGCAAGCGUUAUCCGGAUUUACUGGGUGUAAAGGGGGCGCAGACGGCGAUGCAAGCCAGGAGUGAAAGCCCGGGGCCCAACCCCGGGACUGCUUUGGAAACUGCCCGGCUAGAGUGCUGGAGAGGUAAGCGGAAUUCCUAGUGUAGCGGUGAAAUGCGUAGAUAUUAGGAGGAACACCAGUGGCGAAGGCGGCUUACUGGACAGUAACUGACGUUGAGGCUCGAAAGCGUGGGGAGCAAACAGGAUUAGAUACCCCUGUA